UACGUAGGGUGCAAGCGUUGUCCGGAUUUAUUGGGUUUAAAGGGUGCGUAGGCGGCUCUGUAAGUCACUUGUGAAAUCUCUGAGCUUAACUCAGAACGGCCAAGUGAUACUGCAGUGCUAGAGUGUAGAAGGGGCAAUCGGAAUUCUUGGUGUAGCGGUGAAAUGCGUAGAUAUCAAGAGGAACACCUGAGGUGAAGACGGGUUGCUGGUCUAACACUGACGCUGAGGCGCGAAAGCCAGGGGAGCAAACGGG
RNAcentral lists this ribosomal RNA (253 nucleotides) under uncultured bacterium. RNAcentral's name for it is "partial 16S ribosomal RNA". It matches the Rfam family "Bacterial small subunit ribosomal RNA", at positions 524 to 776 of the family's 1533-position model. The record is from RNAcentral.